GUGCCAGCCGCCGCGGUAAGACGAAGGGGGCUAGCGUUGUUCGGAAUUACUGGGCGUAAAGCGAGUGUAGGCGGUUGCCCAAGUCAGGUGUGAAAGCCUUGAGCUCAACUCAAGAAAUGCACUUGGUACUGGGUGGCUAGAGGACCGGAGAGGAUAGUGGAAUUCCCAGUGUAGUGGUGAAAUACGUAGAGAUUGGGAAGAACACCAGUGGCGAAGGCGGCUAUCUGGACGGUUACUGACGCUAAGACUCGAAAGCGUGGGGAGCAAACAGGAUUAGAUACCCCUGUAGUCC
RNAcentral lists this ribosomal RNA (292 nucleotides) under uncultured bacterium. Its description in RNAcentral is "partial 16S ribosomal RNA". It matches the Rfam family "Bacterial small subunit ribosomal RNA", at positions 505 to 796 of the family's 1533-position model. The record is from RNAcentral.